GCCAAUGUGCCAUAGUGGUUUGAGUGUUGGACUAGGACUCUGAGGGUCAGGGUUCGAUUCCCAGUUUGGCC
Non-coding RNA from Phrynosoma platyrhinos (Desert horned lizard), 71 nucleotides. NCBI's taxonomy places the organism in Eukaryota, Metazoa, Chordata, Lepidosauria, Squamata, Phrynosomatidae. The record is from the annotation of a GenBank genome assembly.